This 595-nucleotide ribosomal RNA is filed under the name Achromobacter xylosoxidans. RNAcentral describes it as "bacterial SSU rRNA". It matches the Rfam family "Bacterial small subunit ribosomal RNA", at positions 116 to 707 of the family's 1533-position model. Lineage: Bacteria; Pseudomonadati; Pseudomonadota; Betaproteobacteria; Burkholderiales; Alcaligenaceae. The record is from RNAcentral.
UAUCGGAACGUGCCCAGUAGCGGGGGAUAACUACGCGAAAGCGUAGCUAAUACCGCAUACGCCCUACGGGGGAAAGCAGGGGAUCGCAAGACCUUGCACUAUUGGAGCGGCCGAUAUCGGAUUAGCUAGUUGGUGGGGUAACGGCUCACCAAGGCGACGAUCCGUAGCUGGUUUGAGAGGACGACCAGCCACACUGGGACUGAGACACGGCCCAGACUCCUACGGGAGGCAGCAGUGGGGAAUUUUGGACAAUGGGGGAAACCCUGAUCCAGCCAUCCCGCGUGUGCGAUGAAGGCCUUCGGGUUGUAAAGCACUUUUGGCAGGAAAGAAACGUCGCGGGUUAAUACCCCGCGGAACUGACGGUACCUGCAGAAUAAGCACCGGCUAACUACGUGCCAGCAGCCGCGGUAAUACGUAGGGUGCAAGCGUUAAUCGGAAUUACUGGGCGUAAAGCGUGCGCAGGCGGUUCGGAAAGAAAGAUGUGAAAUCCCAGAGCUUAACUUUGGAACUGCAUUUUUAACUACCGGGCUAGAGUGUGUCAGAGGGAGGUGGAAUUCCGCGUGUAGCAGUGAAAUGCGUAGAUAUGCGGAGGAAC